GGCGCGGUGCUGGAAUUGGUAGACAGUCAGGUCUCAAAAACCUGUGAGGAUAACACCUCGUGUGGGUUCGAGUCCCUCCCGCGCCA
RNAcentral lists this transfer RNA (86 nucleotides) under Candidatus Woesebacteria bacterium RIFCSPHIGHO2_01_FULL_44_10. Its description in RNAcentral is "tRNA-Leu". It matches the Rfam family "tRNA". Rfam says of the family: Transfer RNA (tRNA) molecules are approximately 80 nucleotides in length. Their secondary structure includes four short double-helical elements and three loops (D, anti-codon, and T loops). Further hydrogen bonds mediate the characteristic L-shaped molecular structure. tRNAs have two regions of fundamental functional importance: the anti-codon, which is responsible for specific mRNA codon recognition, and the 3' end, to which the tRNAs corresponding amino acid is attached (by aminoacyl-tRNA synthetases). tRNAs cope with the degeneracy of the genetic code in two manners: having more than one tRNA (with a specific anti-codon) for a particular amino acid; and 'wobble' base-pairing, i.e. permitting non-standard base-pairing at the 3rd anti-codon position. Lineage: Bacteria; Candidatus Woeseibacteriota. The record is from RNAcentral. RNAcentral also lists the same sequence under 2 other names.